GCAUAUCAAUAAGCGGAGGAAAAGAAACCAACAGGGAUUGCCCUAGUAACGGCGAGUGAAGCGGCAACAGCUCAAAUUUGAAAUCUGGCUUCGGCCCGAGUUGUAAUUUGCAGAGGAUGUUUAUGGUGCGGUACCUUCCGAGUUCCCUGGAACGGGACGCCACAGAGGGUGAGAGCCCCGUCUGGUUGGAUACCAAGCCUGUGUUAAACUCCUUCAACGAGUCGAGUAGUUUGGGAAUGCUGCUCUAAAUGGGAGGUAAAUCUCUUCUAAAGCUAAAUACCGGCCAGAGACCGAUAGCGCACAAGUAGAGUGAUCGAAAGAUGAAAAGCACCUUGAAAAGGGGGUUAAACAGUACGUGAAAUUGUUGAAAGGGAAGCGUUUAUGACCAGACUUGUGUCGUGUGGCUCAUCCGAGGUUCUCCCCGGUGCACUCCACACGGCUCAGGCCAACAUCGGUUCUCGUUGGGGGAUAAGAACAGUAGGAACGUGGCCCCUCUCGGGGGGUGUUAUAGCCUAUUGUACGAUACUCUGACGGGGACCGAGGACCGCGCUUCGGCUAGGAUGUUGGCGUAAUGGUCAUUAGCGACCCGUCUUGAAACACGGACCAAGGAGUCGUCCAUUAGAGCGAGCGUUUGGGUGUAAAACCCGCACGCGUAAUGAAAGUGAAAUUAGGUGAGAGCUUCGGCGCAUCAUCGACCGAUCCUGAAGUUUACGGAUGGAUUUGAGUAAGAGUUUUAACGGACGGACCCGAAAGACAGUGAACUAUGCUUGAAUAGGGUGAAGCCAGAGGAAACUCUGGUGGAGGCUCGCAGCGGUUCUGACGUGCAAAUCGAUCGUCAAAUUUGAGCAUGGGGGGCGAAAGACUAAUCGAACUGUCUAGUAGCUGGUUACCGCCGA
RNAcentral lists this ribosomal RNA (896 nucleotides) under Cryptosporella hypodermia. RNAcentral's name for it is "LSU rRNA". It matches the Rfam family "Eukaryotic large subunit ribosomal RNA", at positions 38 to 964 of the family's 3401-position model. The record is from RNAcentral. Lineage: Eukaryota; Fungi; Ascomycota; Sordariomycetes; Diaporthales; Gnomoniaceae.